CCUACGCCUAUACAUGUUGAAAAAGUACACCCAAAUCACCUGGUACACACACAUAAAACUAUAUUUACACACAAAUCCGGUUACGAGUGCACAACUGUUUUUGAGACUCAUUUCACGCUUCGGGGAAGCUCCCAGAUUUGUGUGUACAUGGUGCGUUUACAUGCUAGUAAAAGCUGGGACAUCUGAGUUUUACUCGGAGUCUAGUGUUUUUAUCCUCUGAACGUUUCUCACUGUGCUUGUGCCGAAGUGGCAAAUACGUUAGUUUGCUGGAAAACGGUAGUUCUCAGCACUUCCUUAUAAUAUCCUAAAAUUAUUUAUAGACAUAUUGUGCGUUUUUGAAUGGUACAGGAGACUACUAAGUGGUCUGAAAAAGGACCACUGGGUGGCGGAAUGGUUCGCUGGCCGGAAAAAUAGACAGGCAAACCCAGAAGCAAGACGGAGCGUCCAAGUGAUCUGUCCUCUGAACAGUAAUGAAGGUAGACCGGGACCUGCAGAAACAUCAUCUGCUGCAAGAUUUUAUUCACCAGAACAAACUGAAAGACAAUCAGCAGCUGAGAUUCAAGGAGGUUCAACACCAAAACCUGAAGCUUCAAACUGAGCCGUCAACUGAACCAAGACGCCUUUCAAACUACAGUAGUUAACCUGCUCUGUUGGUAGACAUUAGGGGGUCUCCUCAAUCUGUACAGACUGACCUUGGUUGUAUUUGAAUACACAGCUUUACGGUGUUUUCUUUUGUUAAUUGAUUAUAGCAAAUAUUUGAACAUCCAUGUAAGUUUUAAGACAUUUCAUUGUUAACUUUAGGUAGCUGUGAAUUCACCCAUGUUAAUCUGAACCUAUUUUGUUAAAGAUUCAACAGAUUUGUUGCAUUCUUAAAUAUUUAAUCUGUCCUUUGUGUGCAGUGAAAUGAACAUUAAAGUUAAUUCAGGAAAUACUUUUGUCAUCUUCUUUCUACAGUAUAAAUUGAAUGAUGCCUCUAUUAAAAUCAUAUAUUUGUGACAUCAAACUUUUUUCUGUCAUAAAGCAGUGGUCAAACUAUGGCUAAAUGUUUGUAAUUUACUUUCAACAAAUGGAAACCAAAAUUAUUUUAAAGUAAAGACACUAUGUAAACUCCUCAUGUACCUCAACACAGGUAAAGUUUCCACUGUAUCCAAGUAAAUGUGAUUGCAAUUGAAUGACAAUUGGAGGGCUUCAACUCCAGUUCAUAAGUUUCAGUGUCCUCCAAUCUUUAGAUGUCUCUUCUUUAACACACUUGAGUCAAAUCAUAAGGUCAGAGGUCAUUAGCAAGACUCUGGAGAACUUGACUGUCCUAAGCAGCCAUUUAAAUUCAGGCGUGCUGGACCAGGACGUAUCUAAAUGUUGCAGGACACCAGACAUCGAUGCCUGGAUCUGAGGAUCCUGUUAGAAGAUCAGUGUGUUCCUGCAGCAGCUCCAUCGGAUCAGAAGAUAGGUGAGAUCUGAAAGAUCCUGAUGUUCCAGAAAGUGAAAUAACACCAGAACCAAUCCACCAGUUAGCCAUUUUGUCCUGUGUAGAGAUAAAUAUAAAAUGUUAUUUAUACACAUAGAAAGUCAAUAAACUAGAAUCGAAAGGCAAUUUAUUUCAUUUAAUUUUAUUCACUUAGUGAAUAAAGUAAAAGGCAAAUAAGAAUGUCUCACAAACUAUAUAUACAAAUAUCAGUCAGCAACAUGACUUAGGAAUUUGAUUGGAACCUUUUGGGCAAAAACAGAUACUGUAAGAACCACACCGAUAAUUUUUAUGGA
This is a long non-coding RNA of Poecilia reticulata (guppy), 1758 nucleotides long. RefSeq lists it as uncharacterized. The record is from RefSeq and is a predicted model, not a curated record. NCBI's taxonomy places the organism in Eukaryota, Metazoa, Chordata, Actinopteri, Cyprinodontiformes, Poeciliidae.